UUCACGGAGAGUUUGAUCCUGGCUCAGGACGAACGCUGGCGGCGUGCUUAACACAUGCAAGUCGAACGAUGAAGCCUUUCGGGGUGGAUUAGUGGCGAACGGGUGAGUAACACGUGGGCAAUCUGCCCUUCACUCUGGGACAAGCCCUGGAAACGGGGUCUAAUACCGGAUAAUACUCCUGCCUGCAUGGGUGGGGGUUGAAAGCUCCGGCGGUGAAGGAUGAGCCCGCGGCCUAUCAGCUUGUUGGUGGGGUAAUGG
Molecule: ribosomal RNA, 258 nt
Rfam family: Bacterial small subunit ribosomal RNA